AGGAUAAACGCUGGCGGCGUGCCUAACACAUGCAAGUCGAACGUCCUACGCAAGUAGGGAGUGGCGGACGGGUGAGUAACACGUGGGCAAUCUACCUUUCGGUGAGGAAUACCGGCGAGAAAUCGCCGACAAUACCGCAUACGCUUCGCAAGAAGCAAAGUCGCAAGACGCCGGAGGAGGAGCCUGCGCCCGAUUAGCUCGUUGGUGGAGUAAUGGUCUACCAAGGCGACGAUCGGUAGCUGGUCUGAGAGGAUGAUCAGCCACACUGGGAUUGAGAACGGCCCAGACUCCUACGGGGGCAGCAGUGAGGAAUUUUCGUCAAUGGGGGAAACCCUGAACGAGCAACGCCGCGUGCAGGAAGACACUUUUCGGAGCGUAAACUGUCUUUUCUCGGGGACGAGUAAGGACGGUACCCGAGGAAUCACGCCCCGGCUAACUACGUGCCAGCAGCCGC
RNAcentral lists this ribosomal RNA (454 nucleotides) under uncultured bacterium. RNAcentral describes it as "SSU rRNA". It matches the Rfam family "Bacterial small subunit ribosomal RNA", at positions 26 to 518 of the family's 1533-position model. The record is from RNAcentral.